AAAGUCGUAACAAGGUUUCCGUAGGUGAACCUGCGGAAGGAUCAUUAAAUAAUUUAGAUGGCCUUUGCUAGUUUUCUAGCGAAUGGUUCAUUCUUUUUUACUGUGAACUGUUUUAAUUUUUCAGCGUCUGAGGAAUGUCUUUUAGCCAUAGGGAUAGGCUACUAGAAUGUUAACCGAGCUGAAAGUCAGGCUUAGGCCUGGUAUCCUAUUAAUUAUUUACCAAAAGAAUUCAGUAUUAUAAUUGUAACAUAAGCGUAAAAAACUUAUAAAACAACUUUUAACAACGGAUCUCUUGGUUCUC
Molecule: unclassified non-coding RNA, 301 nt
Filed under: fungal sp.
Lineage: Eukaryota; Fungi
Description: partial contains small subunit ribosomal RNA, internal transcribed spacer 1, and 5.8S ribosomal RNA
Rfam family: Eukaryotic small subunit ribosomal RNA (bases 1-47)
Source: RNAcentral